RNAcentral lists this long non-coding RNA (752 nucleotides) under Sorghum bicolor (sorghum). RNAcentral describes it as "long non-coding RNA (SBIC_LNC015111)". Lineage: Eukaryota; Viridiplantae; Streptophyta; Magnoliopsida; Poales; Poaceae. The record is from RNAcentral.
UGCAGCCUGGUACACAAUCUGUGUACAAUUAGCAAUAAACUGAGGAAACAACUUCUUGUACUAAUAACCGUGUGCACGUAGCAAAAUUCACCAGCUUUUCCCCUUCACCAAGCAAUGGCAGUGUGUGAACCUGACCCCUACUCGACGCGUGUGCUUGAAGCAGUACUGAUCACGACAGCAAGGGGACAGCAAAAAAAAACCCACGUCCUUCUGAUCCUCGAUUUCCAACCCAGAGCAGAACAACAGCCACAGCGAUAGAACAACGGCCAGGGAGACACGUCCACCGACUCGAAUCGGGCGUUGUUUAGUUCUAUUUUUUUUUCAAAAUAGGCAUUAUAGAAAUUUCGUUUGUAUUUAAUGAAUAUUGUUUAAUUAUAGACUAAUUAGACUUAAAAGAUUCGUUUCGCAAAUUUUAGAUAAAUUAUAUAAUUAUUUAUUUUUUUUAUCUUUAUUUAAUGUUUUAUAUAUGUACCGCAAGAUUCGAUGUGACGUAAAAUUUAAAAAAUUUUGUAAAAUUUUUUGGCACUAAACAAGGCCUCGAUGACCGAAACAGUGGCGCUGGAAAUCACGAGCAGGAGAUUGAUACUGGCGGCAGUGUCACAGAAGCAGGGAAUAAAACCCUUUUUUUUUCAAUCUUGUGUCUGACUUAUACCACUUGUUAGAAAAUAAUGUGAAUAUAGAUAUGUAAGUUGCAUUUGGGUAUGCACAUCUGAAAGUAUAUUCUUAAUACAGACGAUCAUUUUGCACAUCUA